CCUGGUGGCUCAGAAGGUAAAGCGUCUGCCUGAAAUGCAGGAGACCUGGGUUCAAUCCCUGGGUCAGGA
RNAcentral lists this transfer RNA (69 nucleotides) under Bos taurus (domestic cattle). It matches the Rfam family "tRNA". From Rfam's summary of the family: Transfer RNA (tRNA) molecules are approximately 80 nucleotides in length. Their secondary structure includes four short double-helical elements and three loops (D, anti-codon, and T loops). The record is from Rfam by way of RNAcentral. Lineage: Eukaryota; Metazoa; Chordata; Mammalia; Artiodactyla; Bovidae. RNAcentral also lists the same sequence under 3 other names.